Molecule: ribosomal RNA, 501 nt
Filed under: uncultured bacterium
Lineage: Bacteria
Description: partial 16S ribosomal RNA
Rfam family: Bacterial small subunit ribosomal RNA
Source: RNAcentral
GAUGAACGCUAGCGACAGGCUUAACACAUGCAAGUCGAGGGGCAUCAUGAGGUAGCAAUACCUUAAUGGCGACCGGCGCACGGGUGAGUAACGCGUAUGCAACCUGCCCGAUACCGGGGUAUAGCCCAUGGAAACGUGGAUUAACACCCCAUAGUACUUUUAUCCUGCCUGGGAUGGGAGUUAAAUGUUCAAGGUAUCGGAUGGGCAUGCGUCCUAUUAGUUAGUUGGCGGGGUAACAGCCCACCAAGACAAUGAUAGGUAGGGGUUCCGAGAGGAAGGUCCCCAACAUUGGAACUGAGACACGGUCCAAACUCCUACGGGAGGCAGCAGUGAGGAAUAUUGGUCAAUGGACGUAAGUCUGAACCAGCCAAGUCGCGUGAGGGAAGACUGCCCUAUGGGUUGUAAACCUCUUUUAUAAGGGAAUAAAGUGAGCCUCGUGAGGCUUUUUGCAUGUACCUUAUGAAUAAGGACCGGCUAACUCCGUGCCAGCCGCCGCCGUAA